Molecule: ribosomal RNA, 380 nt
Filed under: uncultured eukaryote
Lineage: Eukaryota
Description: partial 18S ribosomal RNA
Rfam family: Eukaryotic small subunit ribosomal RNA
Source: RNAcentral
CAAUAGCGUAUAUUAAAGUUGUUGCAGUUAAAAAGCUCGUAGUUGGACUUCGGGGUCCUCUGGCCGGUCGCUCGAAAGGGUUUGUACUGGUCGCAGGACCCUUCCUUCUGAAGACGGUGUCUGUUCUUAACUGGACGGGCAUUCGGAUUCAGAUCGUUUACUUUGAAAAAAUUAGAGUGUUUAAAGCAGGCCACUGCCUUGAAUACAUUAGCAUGGAAUAAUGGAAUAGGACUUUGGUUCUAUUUUGUUGGUUUCUAGGACCGAAGUAAUGAUUAAUAGGGAUAGUUGGGGGCAUUAAUAUUUAAUUGCUAGAGGUGAAAUUCUCAGAUUUAUGAAAGAUUAACUUCUGCGAAAGCAUUUGCCAAGGAUGUUUUCAUUAA